This 519-nucleotide ribosomal RNA is filed under the name uncultured eukaryote. RNAcentral's name for it is "SSU rRNA". It matches the Rfam family "Eukaryotic small subunit ribosomal RNA", at positions 1161 to 1698 of the family's 1831-position model. The record is from RNAcentral.
AGGGCACCACCAGGAGUGGAGCCUGCGGCUUAAUUUGACUCAACACGGGAAAACUCACCCGGCCCGGACACUGGAAGGAUUGACAGAUUGAGAGCUCUUUCUUGAUUCAGUGGGUGGUGGUGCAUGGCCGUUCUUAGUUGGUGGAGUGAUUUGUCUGGUUAAUUCCGAUAACGAACGAGACUCUAGCCUAUUAGAUAGAUCGUUGGCUUACAAACGCCGGCGAGACUUCUUAGAGGGACAGGCGGCGAUUCAGCCGCACGAAACAGAGCAAUAACAGGUCUGUGAUGCCCUCAGAUGUCCGGGGCCGCACGCGCGCUACACUGAAGUGAUCAGCGUGCAUUUUGAAACCUACUCUGUCAAGAGUGGGGAACCCAAUGAACCUUCUUCGUGAUUGGGAUAGGGGAUUGUAAUUAUUCCCCUUGAACGAGGAAUUCCCAGUAAGCGCGAAUCAUAAGUUUGCGCUGAUUACGUCCCUGCCCUUUGUACACACCGCCCGUCGCUACUACCGAUUGAAUGUUU